GAUGAAGAACGCAGCGAAAUGCGAUAAGUAAUGUGAAUUGCAGAAUUCAGUGAAUCAUCGAAUCUUUGAACGCACAUUGCGCCCGCCAGUAUUCUGGCGGGCAUGCCUGUCCGAGCGUCAUUUCAACCAUCAAGCCCCCGGGCUUGUGUUGGGGACCUGCGGCUGCCCGCAGGCCCUGAAAACCAGUGGCGGGCUCGCUGUCACACCGAGCGUAGUAGCAAUCACCUCGCUCAGGGCGUGCUGCGGGUUCCGGCCGUUAAACAGCCUUACAAAACCCAAGGUUGACCUCGGAUCAGGUAGGAAGACCCGCUGAACUUAAGCAUAUCAAUAAGCGGAGG
This 338-nucleotide unclassified non-coding RNA is filed under the name soil metagenome. RNAcentral describes it as "partial contains 5.8S ribosomal RNA, internal transcribed spacer 2, and large subunit ribosomal RNA". The stretch from base 1 to 120 matches the Rfam family "5.8S ribosomal RNA", at positions 35 to 154 of the family's 154-position model. The record is from RNAcentral.